AUUUGGAGAGGAUGCUUUGGGCUGCGGUGCCUUCCGAGUUCCUUGGAACAGGACGCCACAGAGGGUGAGAGCCCCGUACGGUCGGACGCCCAGCCCGUGUAAAGCUCCUUCGACGAGUCGAGUAGUUUGGGAAUGCUGCUCAAAAUGGGAGGUAAAUUUCUUCUAAAGCUAAAUACUGGCCAGAGACCGAUAGCGCACAAGUAGAGUGAUCGAAAGAUGAAAAGCACUUUGAAAAGAGGGUUAAACAGUACGUGAAAUUGUUGAAAGGGAAGCGCCUGUGACCAGACUUGCGCCCCGCGAACCACCCGGCGUUCCGCGCCGGUGCACUCCGCGGGGCGCAGGCCAGCAUCGGUUUUCCUAGGGGGACAAGGACCGUGGGAACGUAGCUCUUUCGGGAGUGUUAUAGCCCGCGGCGCCAUGCCUCUGGGGGGACCGAGGACCGCGCUUCGGCAAGGAUGCUGGCGUAAUGGUCAUCGGCGACCCGUCUUGAAACACGGACCAAGGAGUCAAGCAUUGGGGCGAGUGUCUGGGUGCCAAACCCGCACGCGAAAUGAAAGUAAACGCAGGUGAGAGCUUCGGCGCAUCAUCGACCGAUCCUGAUGUUCUCGGAUGGAUUUGAGUAGGAGCCUU
RNAcentral lists this ribosomal RNA (630 nucleotides) under Aureovirgo volantis. RNAcentral describes it as "LSU rRNA". It matches the Rfam family "Eukaryotic large subunit ribosomal RNA", at positions 148 to 804 of the family's 3401-position model. Lineage: Eukaryota; Fungi; Ascomycota; Sordariomycetes; Ophiostomatales; Ophiostomataceae. The record is from RNAcentral.